AUUGAGUGUCUCAUGUCUUCCAAAAGCAUAUCAAAUUGCUUUAUAAUAGCUUGCUUCUCUACUUGUCUCUAUUGCUUCUCUUUUUCAAGCUACUUCUUCAAUUGUUCUACUUCUUAUUGUAAAACAACAAACUGAGAAUUGUGUGACAAAGACACCCUAGAAGAAGAUGCUCCACGUGAAGAGUAAAUGGUAGAUGAUUCUGAUCCAAGCCCAUACACCAUUUGUCUCUUCUGAUCGGCCCCAACAACAUCCAAAUAAAUUUGAU
This 265-nucleotide unclassified non-coding RNA is filed under the name Hevea brasiliensis (rubber tree). The record is from RNAcentral. Lineage: Eukaryota; Viridiplantae; Streptophyta; Magnoliopsida; Malpighiales; Euphorbiaceae.